This 238-nucleotide long non-coding RNA is filed under the name Pelobates cultripes (western spadefoot toad). Lineage: Eukaryota; Metazoa; Chordata; Amphibia; Anura; Pelobatidae. The record is from RNAcentral.
CUAACAUGUAAACUUACUGAGCAGGGCCCUCAAUCCCUCUGUUACUGUGUCACUAUACCCCACUCCCUCUAGCAUGUAAACUCACUGAGCAGGGCCUCAAUCCCUCUGUUACUGUGUCACUAUACCCCACUCCCUGUAGCAUGUAAACUCACUGAGCAGGGCUCUCAAUCCCUCUGUUACUGUGUCACUAUACCCCACUCCCUCUAACAUGUAAACUCACUGAGCAGGCCCUCAAUCC